GAGAGGAAGUCACUUCCUAAUGCAACUAUUAUGAUUCACCAGCCAUCAGGUGGGUACAGUGGGCAGGCGAAGGACAUGACCAUUCACACCAAGCAGAUAGUUCGAGUUUGGGAUUCACUCAAUCAAUUAUACUCAAAGCAUACAGGGCAAUCAAUAGAUGUAAUUCAGAAGAAUAUGGAUAGAGAUUAUUUUAUGACCCCAGAAGAGGCAAAGGACUUUGGAAUUAUUGAUGAAGUGAUUGAUCAAAGGCCAAUGGCGCUUGUGACUGAUGCUGUUGGUGAUGAAGGUAAACAAAAGGAUUCCAAAUAGAAUUAGAGGGUGAGAUCCUAGUGGGAAAGUUUCCCUGUUUUGAAUUUUGCAUCGACUUUUCUUGAUCAAUCUAUCUGAUUACUAAAUAUCUGGAUUUUGUUGAUUACCAGACAUUAUGUCUGGUUGUUUAUGGGAUAUCAUGUUAUUUAUUUCCUUGCGGAAUUAAUAUUUCAUAGGGCUUGUUAUGCAUUUGGUGACUCGUCGUAUCGACUAUACCCAUUCAUCUUGCAUGGAAAUAUUAUGUAAGUCAUUAUGAAAUCAUUUCAUAUAUUCAUACAACUUUCUUUUUCUUUUGCAAAAAAAAAA
RNAcentral lists this unclassified non-coding RNA (615 nucleotides) under Hevea brasiliensis (rubber tree). The record is from RNAcentral. Lineage: Eukaryota; Viridiplantae; Streptophyta; Magnoliopsida; Malpighiales; Euphorbiaceae.